This 586-nucleotide ribosomal RNA is filed under the name uncultured bacterium. RNAcentral's name for it is "partial 16S ribosomal RNA". It matches the Rfam family "Bacterial small subunit ribosomal RNA", at positions 355 to 1375 of the family's 1533-position model. The record is from RNAcentral.
UGGGGAAUUUUGGACAAUGGGCGAAAGCCUGAUCCAGCAAUGCCGCGUGUGUGAAGAAGGCCUUCGGGUUGUAAAGCACUUUUGUCCGGAAAGAAAUCCUUGGCUCUAAUACAGUCGGGGGAUGACGGUACCGGAGGAAUAAGCACCGGCUAACUACGUGCCAGCAGCCGCGGUAAUACGUAGGGUGCAAGCGUUAAUCGGAAUUACUGGGCGUAAAGCGUGCGCAGGCGGUUUGCUAAGACCGAUGUGAAAUCCCCGGGCUCAACCUGGGAACUGCAUUGGUGACUGGCAGGCUAGAGUAUGGCAGAGGGGGGUAGAAUUCCACGUGUAGCAGUGAAAUGCGUAGAGAUGUGGAGGAAUACCGAUGGCGAAGGCAGCCCCCUGGGCCAAUACUGACGCUCAUGCACGAAAAGCGUGGGGAGCAAACAGGAUUAGAUACCCUGGUAGUCCACGCCCUAAAACGAUGUCAACUAGUUGUUGGGGAUUCAUUUCCUAGUAACGUAGCUAACGCGUGAAGUUGACCGCCUGGGGAGUACGGUCGCAAGAUUAAAACUCAAAUGAAUUGACGGGGUCAUAGCUGUUUCCU